This 244-nucleotide unclassified non-coding RNA is filed under the name Glomus sp. RNAcentral describes it as "partial contains 5.8S ribosomal RNA and internal transcribed spacer 2". The stretch from base 1 to 65 matches the Rfam family "5.8S ribosomal RNA", at positions 84 to 154 of the family's 154-position model. Lineage: Eukaryota; Fungi; Glomeromycota; Glomeromycetes; Glomerales; Glomeraceae. The record is from RNAcentral.
GUGAAUCAUCAAAUUUUUGAACGCAAAUUGCACUCUCUUCGGAGAAUAUGCCUGUUUGAGGGUCAGCCUCAAAAAAAUCGACAUAGUUGCUGUUUUGCGGUGACAUUCGUCGGAAAUUGGGCCACUUUAAACCUUUGGGUUUUAAGCGGCUUAAAAUUUUCUUUAAGAUUCUAUGAACGAUUCUCUGAUUUUACUUCUUACAUGUUUAAGGUAUCGAUCUUUAUUAGUCGUGGUCGUUGUAUCG